GAGAGAUGGCUGAGUGGUCGAAAGCGGCAGUCUUGAAAACUGUUGUGCAGUAAUGUACCGGGGGUUCGAAUCCCUCUCUCUU
RNAcentral lists this transfer RNA (82 nucleotides) under uncultured Brevinema sp. It matches the Rfam family "tRNA". From Rfam's summary of the family: Transfer RNA (tRNA) molecules are approximately 80 nucleotides in length. The record is from RNAcentral. Lineage: Bacteria; Pseudomonadati; Spirochaetota; Spirochaetia; Brevinematales; Brevinemataceae.